This 519-nucleotide ribosomal RNA is filed under the name uncultured eukaryote. RNAcentral describes it as "SSU rRNA". It matches the Rfam family "Eukaryotic small subunit ribosomal RNA", at positions 1161 to 1704 of the family's 1831-position model. The record is from RNAcentral.
AGGGCACCACCAGGAGUGGAGCCUGCGGCUUAAUUUGACUCAACACGGGAAAACUCACCCGGCCCGGACACCGUAAGGAUUGACAGACUGAGAGCUCUUUCUUAAUUCGGUGGGUGGUGGUGCAUGGCCGUUCUUAGUUGGUGGAGCGAUUUGUCUGGUUAAUUCCGAUAACGAACGAGACUCUGGCCUAUUAAAUAGUCGGUAUAUUAUUAGUUUACCGUACUUCUUAGAGGGACAAACGGCGUCCAGCCGCGUGAAAUAGAGCAAUAACAGGUCUGUGAUGCCCUUAGAUGUCCGGGGCUGCACGCGCGCUACACUGAAAGAAUCAGUAUGCGCUUUAACCUAGUCCGGAAGGAUUGGGUAACCCGAGCAAAUUCUUUCGUGCUUGGGAUAGGGAAUUGCAAUUAUUUCCCUUAAACGAGGAAUUCCCAGUAAAUGCGGGUCAUAAGCUCGCGUUGAUUACGUCCCUGCCCUUUGCACACACCGCCCGUCGCUACUACCGAUUGGAUGACUUAGUGA